AGUGAACGCUGGCGGUAGGCCUAACACAUGCAAGUCGAACGGCAGCACAGUAAGAGCUUGCUCUUACGGGUGGCGAGUGGCGGACGGGUGAGGAAUACAUCGGAAUCUACUUUUUCGUGGGGGAUAACGUAGGGAAACUUACGCUAAUACCGCAUACGACCUACGGGUGAAAGCAUGGGAUCUUCGGACCUUGCGCGAUUGAAUGAGCCGAUGUCGGAUUAGCUAGUGGGCGGGGUAAAGGCCCACCAAGGCGACGAUCCGUAGCUGGUCUGAGAGGAUGAUCAGCCACACUGGAACUGAGACACGGUCCAGACUCCUACGGGAGGCAGCAGUGGGGAAUAUUGGACAAUGGGCGCAAGCCUGAUCCAGCCAGACCGCGUGGGUGAAGAAGGCCUUCGGGUUGUAAAGCCCUUUUGUUGGGAAAGAAAAGCAGCAGGUUAAUACCCCGCUGUUCUGACGGUACCCAAAGAAUAAGCACCGGCUAACUUCGUG
RNAcentral lists this ribosomal RNA (492 nucleotides) under uncultured bacterium. Its description in RNAcentral is "partial 16S ribosomal RNA". It matches the Rfam family "Bacterial small subunit ribosomal RNA", at positions 29 to 507 of the family's 1533-position model. The record is from RNAcentral.